CGGAGGAGACCACAGGGAUUGCCCUAGUAACGGCGAGUGAAGCGGCAACAGCUCAAAUUUGAAAUCUGGCCCCUUCGGGGUCCGAGUUGUAAUUUGCAGAGGGUGCUUUGGCGUUGGCGGCGGUCUAAGUUCCUUGGAACAGGACAUCGCAGAGGGUGAGAAUCCCGUAUGUGGUCGCCUGCCUUCGCCGUGUAAAGCCCCUUCGACGAGUCGAGUUGUUUGGGAAUGCAGCUCUAAAUGGGAGGUAAAUUUCUUCUAAAGCUAAAUACCGGCCAGAGACCGAUAGCGCACAAGUAGAGUGAUCGAAAGAUGAAAAGCACUUUGGAAAGAGAGUCAAACAGCACGUGAAAUUGUUGAAAGGGAAGCGCUUGCAGCCAGACUUGCCUGUAGUUGCUCACCCGGGCUCCUGCCCGGGGCACUCUUCUGCAGGCAGGCCAGCAUCAGUUUGGGCGGUUGGAUAAAGGGCUCUGACACGUACUUCCCCUCGGGGUUGACAUACAGGGGAGCCGCAAUGCGACCAGCCCGGACUGAGGUCCGCGCAUCUGCUAGGAUGCUGGCGUAAUGGCUGUAAGCGGCCCGUCUUGAAACACGGACCAAGGAGUCUAACAUCUAUGCGAGUGUUUGGGUGUCAAGCCCGAGCGCGUAAUGAAAGUGAACGGAGGUGGGAACCCCUCGGGGUGCACCAUCGACCGAUCCUGAUGUCUUCGGAUGGAUUUGAGUAAGAGCAUAGCUGUUGGGACCCGAAAGAUGGUGAACUAUGCUUGAAUAGGGUGAAGCCAGAGGAAACUCUGGUGGAGGCUCGCAGCGGUUCUGACGUGCAAAUCGAUCGUCAAAUUUGGGCAUAGGGGCGAAAGACUAAUCGAACUUCCUUAGGCC
This 876-nucleotide ribosomal RNA is filed under the name Periconia sp. RNAcentral describes it as "partial 28S ribosomal RNA". It matches the Rfam family "Eukaryotic large subunit ribosomal RNA", at positions 51 to 952 of the family's 3401-position model. Lineage: Eukaryota; Fungi; Ascomycota; Dothideomycetes; Pleosporales; Periconiaceae. The record is from RNAcentral.